GAGUGACAGCACAGUUGUCGCGGCUAAGCCUUGUUGGGUUUUUAUUAAGAUUUAUAUCAAUAUGGAUUCUAUUCGUUCGGGAAUUUUUAUGUCGCUGUUCUGUGUUUUAUUACCUUUAGCACAAUCUCAUUGGAUAGGUGGUUGGGGAGGACCUCCUGUGGUAGUGGGCGGCUUCGGGUGGGGGGGAGGCUUUUACCGACCACCUCCCCCACCGUUCUUUGGCCCCCCUCCGCCACCCUUCUUCGGCCCACCGCCUCCUCCGCCAUUUCCGUUCUACGGAUGAUCCUGGAAUUGUUUUGAAAUACGAUGUUUUCUGUUUACUUCAGCUUACUUGUACCUGGAUGUUUACUUAGUUAUACAAUAGCGACGUUCAUUAAAUAUUCUCAAUUUAAUUAUAAUAUUUUUUGUUAUGUAUUAAAUUCUCAAGUAUUA
This is a long non-coding RNA of Papilio xuthus (Asian swallowtail), 432 nucleotides long. RefSeq lists it as uncharacterized. Lineage: Eukaryota; Metazoa; Arthropoda; Insecta; Lepidoptera; Papilionidae. The transcript has 2 exons. The record is from RefSeq and is a predicted model, not a curated record.